RNAcentral lists this ribosomal RNA (585 nucleotides) under uncultured Variovorax sp. Its description in RNAcentral is "bacterial SSU rRNA". It matches the Rfam family "Bacterial small subunit ribosomal RNA", at positions 102 to 682 of the family's 1533-position model. The record is from RNAcentral. Lineage: Bacteria; Pseudomonadati; Pseudomonadota; Betaproteobacteria; Burkholderiales; Comamonadaceae.
ACGGGUGAGUAAUACAUCGGAACGUGCCCAAUCGUGGGGGAUAACGCAGCGAAAGCUGUGCUAAUACCGCAUACGAUCUACGGAUGAAAGCAGGGGAUCGCAAGACCUUGCGCGAAUGGAGCGGCCGAUGGCAGAUUAGGUAGUUGGUGAGGUAAAGGCUCACCAAGCCUUCGAUCUGUAGCUGGUCUGAGAGGACGACCAGCCACACUGGGACUGAGACACGGCCCAGACUCCUACGGGAGGCAGCAGUGGGGAAUUUUGGACAAUGGGCGAAAGCCUGAUCCAGCCAUGCCGCGUGCAGGAUGAAGGCCUUCGGGUUGUAAACUGCUUUUGUACGGAACGAAACGGUCUUUUCUAAUAAAGAAGGCUAAUGACGGUACCGUAAGAAUAAGCACCGGCUAACUACGUGCCAGCAGCCGCGGUAAUACGUAGGGUGCAAGCGUUAAUCGGAAUUACUGGGCGUAAAGCGUGCGCAGGCGGUGAUGUAAGACAGUUGUGAAAUCCCCGGGCUCAACCUGGGAACUGCAUCUGUGACUGCAUCGCUGGAGUACGGCAGAGGGGGAUGGGAAUUCCGCGUGUAGCAGU